CGAUACUUGGUGUGAAUUGCAGAAUUCAGUGAAUCAUCGAAUCUUUGAACGCACCUUGCGCUCCUUGGUAUUCCGAGGAGCAUGCCUGUUUGAGUGUCAUGGUAUUCUCAACCCACACAUCCUUGUGAUGUUCGUAGGGCUUGGACUUGGAGGCUUGCUGGCCGUCGCGGUCGGCUCCUCUUGAAUGCAUUAGCUUGGUUCCUUGCGGAUCGGCUCUCAGUGUGAUAAUUGUCUACGCUGUGACCGUGAAGCGUUUGGCGAGCUUCUAACCGUCCUGCUAGGGACAAACUUACUUGACAUCUGACCUCAAAUCAGGUAGGACUACCCGCUGAACUUAAGCAUAUCAAUAAGCGGAGGA
RNAcentral lists this ribosomal RNA (358 nucleotides) under Lenzites sp. BAB-3974. RNAcentral's name for it is "eukaryotic LSU rRNA". The stretch from base 1 to 99 matches the Rfam family "5.8S ribosomal RNA", at positions 56 to 154 of the family's 154-position model. Lineage: Eukaryota; Fungi; Basidiomycota; Agaricomycetes; Polyporales; Polyporaceae. The record is from RNAcentral.